GGUCCAUUCGUCUAUUGGUUAGGACACAAGAUUUUCAUUCUUGAAAGAGGGGUUCGAUUCCCCUAUGGACUA
Molecule: transfer RNA, 72 nt
Filed under: Azobacteroides pseudotrichonymphae (SeqCode)
Lineage: Bacteria; Pseudomonadati; Bacteroidota; Bacteroidia; Bacteroidales
Also listed under: 1 other name
Description: Candidatus Azobacteroides pseudotrichonymphae tRNA-Glu
Rfam family: tRNA
About the family: Transfer RNA (tRNA) molecules are approximately 80 nucleotides in length. Their secondary structure includes four short double-helical elements and three loops (D, anti-codon, and T loops). Further hydrogen bonds mediate the characteristic L-shaped molecular structure. tRNAs have two regions of fundamental functional importance: the anti-codon, which is responsible for specific mRNA codon recognition, and the 3' end, to which the tRNAs corresponding amino acid is attached (by aminoacyl-tRNA synthetases). tRNAs cope with the degeneracy of the genetic code in two manners: having more than one tRNA (with a specific anti-codon) for a particular amino acid; and 'wobble' base-pairing, i.e. permitting non-standard base-pairing at the 3rd anti-codon position.
Source: RNAcentral